This 407-nucleotide ribosomal RNA is filed under the name uncultured bacterium. Its description in RNAcentral is "bacterial SSU rRNA". It matches the Rfam family "Bacterial small subunit ribosomal RNA", at positions 355 to 776 of the family's 1533-position model. The record is from RNAcentral.
UGGGGAAUAUUGGGCAAUGGGCGCAAGCCUGACCCAGCAACGCCGCGUGAGGGAAGAAGGCCUUCGGGUUGUAAACCUCUGUCCUUGGUGACGAAGAAAGUGACGGUAGCCAAGGAGGAAGCCCCGGCUAACUACGUGCCAGCAGCCGCGGUAAUACGUAGGGGGCGAGCGUUGUCCGGAAUUACUGGGCGUAAAGGGUGUGUAGGCGGUCUGUUAAGUUAGAUGUGAAAUGCCCGGGCUUAACUUGGGACGUGCAUCUAAGACUGGCGGACUAGAGUGCAGGAGAGGAAAGCGGAAUUCCUAGUGUAGCGGUGAAAUGCGUAGAUAUUAGGAGGAACACCAGUGGCGAAGGCGGCUUUCUGGACUGUAACUGACGCUGAGGCACGAAAGCGUGGGGAGCAAACAGG